RNAcentral lists this ribosomal RNA (253 nucleotides) under uncultured bacterium. RNAcentral describes it as "partial 16S ribosomal RNA". It matches the Rfam family "Bacterial small subunit ribosomal RNA", at positions 524 to 776 of the family's 1533-position model. The record is from RNAcentral.
UACGAAGGGGGCUAGCGUUGUUCGGAUUUACUGGGCGUAAAGGGCGCGUAGGCGGAUUUUUAAGUCAGGGGUGAAAUCCCGAGGCUCAACCUCGGAAUUGCCUUUGAUACUGGAAGUCUUGAGUUCGGAAGAGGUGAGUGGAAUUGUGAGUGUAGAGGUGAAAUUCGUAGAUAUUCACAAGAACACCGGUGGCGAAGGCGGCUCACUGGUCCGAUACUGACGCUGAGGCGCGAAAGCGUGGGGAGCAAACAGG